RNAcentral lists this ribosomal RNA (261 nucleotides) under Salmonella enterica subsp. enterica. Its description in RNAcentral is "partial 16S ribosomal RNA". It matches the Rfam family "Bacterial small subunit ribosomal RNA", at positions 997 to 1258 of the family's 1533-position model. Lineage: Bacteria; Pseudomonadati; Pseudomonadota; Gammaproteobacteria; Enterobacterales; Enterobacteriaceae. RNAcentral also lists the same sequence under 5 other names. The record is from RNAcentral.
UUUCCAGAGAUGGAUUGGUGCCUUCGGGAACUGUGAGACAGGUGCUGCAUGGCUGUCGUCAGCUCGUGUUGUGAAAUGUUGGGUUAAGUCCCGCAACGAGCGCAACCCUUAUCCUUUGUUGCCAGCGGUCCGGCCGGGAACUCAAAGGAGACUGCCAGUGAUAAACUGGAGGAAGGUGGGGAUGACGUCAAGUCAUCAUGGCCCUUACGACCAGGGCUACACACGUGCUACAAUGGCGCAUACAAAGAGAAGCGACCUCGC